CGUACGAACAGCGGAAAGUGCUUGCACUUUCCAAGUAAGUGGCGAACGGGUGAGUAACACGUGAAUAACCUACCUCAAAGUCUGGGAUAACCAUUGGAAACAGUGACUAAUACCGGAUAAAACCCAAGUGCACAUGCACUAAGGUUAAAAGCUGCGUUUGCAGCGCUUUAAGAUGGAUUCGCGGUGCAUUAGUUAGUUGGUGAGGUAAAGGCUCACCAAGACGAUGAUGCAUAGCCGAGUUGAGAGACUGACCGGCCACAUUGGGACUGAGACACGGCCCAAACUCCUACGGGAGGCUGCAGUAGGGAAUCUUCCACAAUGGGCGCAAGCCUGAUGGAGCAACGCCGCGUGUGUGAUGAAGGCUUUCGGGUCGUAAAGCACUGUUGUAUGGGAAGAACGGGUUUAAGAGGAAAUGCUUAAACAGUGACGGUACCAUACCAGAAAGGGACGGCUAAAUACGUGCCAGCAGCCGCGGUAAUACGUAUGUCCCGAGCGUUAUCCGGAUUUAUUGGGCGUAAAGCGAGCGCAGACGGUUGCUUAAGUCUGAAGUGAAAGCCCACAGCUCAACUGUGGAAUGGCUUUGGAAACUGGGCAACUUGAGUGCAGUAGAGGUAAGUGGAACUCCAUGUGUAGCGGUGGAAUGCGUAGAUAUAUGGAAGAACACCAGUGGCGAAGGCGGCUUACUGGACUGCAACUGACGUUGAGGCUCGAAAGUGUGGGUAGCAAACAGGAUUAGAUACCCUGGUAGUCCACACGU
Molecule: ribosomal RNA, 757 nt
Filed under: Fructobacillus fructosus
Lineage: Bacteria; Bacillati; Bacillota; Bacilli; Lactobacillales; Lactobacillaceae
Description: bacterial SSU rRNA
Rfam family: Bacterial small subunit ribosomal RNA
Source: RNAcentral